This 455-nucleotide long non-coding RNA is filed under the name Manihot esculenta (cassava). Its description in RNAcentral is "long non-coding RNA (MESC_LNC001522)". The record is from RNAcentral. Lineage: Eukaryota; Viridiplantae; Streptophyta; Magnoliopsida; Malpighiales; Euphorbiaceae.
UGCAAUCCUCAUCUCUACACAGCCGAACGCACAACAGUGGACCAGUCCAGCCAUCACCGUCACCAACACGAGAUACCGACCGCGCAACCCUUGUCCUCCAGUCGGGCAACCUAUAGCGACGAGAUCGCCGACGUCGGGGUGGCCCUCUCCCACGACAGAUGAGUGAAAAGAAGAAAAAUGAGACACCCACUGACGCGUGACGACCCAGCGCAUGGCGGCCACACCAUCCGUGGCUUCUUCGUCCGCCAUUGCUCAGCAAGUGCGCGAGGCAGCAGCGUACCUCAACGGUGGCUAUUGACUCGCGAGAGGACCUGGAGCCCAGACUUUCUCGGCCUUUUCCAUAGUGUGACAUUCUCCACGAUCUCCUCACGGCCACUACGGUCAAGGCAGCAAUGUCGGCCAGGCUCGUGACGGCCGAAGGACCAGUCGCUCCUCACCAGUAGCAAUGAAGACAC